Pezoporus flaviventris is the source of this 1631-nucleotide long non-coding RNA. RefSeq lists it as uncharacterized. The transcript is spliced from 3 exons. Lineage: Eukaryota; Metazoa; Chordata; Aves; Psittaciformes; Psittacidae. The record is from RefSeq and is a predicted model, not a curated record.
GGCUGCCCGCCGCCGCUCUACCCCGGGCUCAGCGGCAGCUGCAGUGACUGUGUGCCUGUGUCAUGUCUGUGCCUGGGCGGGCGGAGGCGCGGGGCCGAGGCGGAGCCAGCCCGCUGACACGCCGCCCAGCGACAGGCGCCGAGAGCCCAACCAGCGGCUGCCGCCAGCGCGGCCGGCCCGCCCGACCGCGGAGCGGGGCGCCGCGGGUCGCUACACCUGGGCCCAGGACAGCGAGCGCGUCCCGCGGGAGGGCAGUGCGAGGGGAGACCCGGCUCCGCGCCCGCCUGCCUCCGCCUGCCGAGCGGUGACCCCAAGCGCCGCAGCUGAGCGCACCGUCCCGGCCGGACGGCGGAGCGCGGUGUGAAUAGCUCCAUCAGUCUUUGUCCUUGAAAAUCUUGAAGUGGCAAUUGCUUUGGACAUAGAGAAAACAAGCAGUGCAGAAGGAUCCUUAUGCCAAGGACAGCUAGAAGAAAGGAGAUGCAAAUAUUUGCACUUCAGAUUUCAUUCAGCCAGAAGGAAGAAUCUUCUGGAAAAGAAAAGCAGCAUUGUACAGCCUUUAAAAUAAUCUAAAACUUCACUGUCUAUGAAGAUGAAACUGACCCAGGUACUCUAAAGACUAGAUCAAGGUAUGUUAAGCUCAGUGGAGAAACUGCACUGGUUUCACUGGUAUUCAGUCUAAACGAUCCUUUAUGUCCCAGUCUGUGUUCUUGGAAAAAAAUACAUAUACACGUAUAUACAUACACACACACAUUUAUGAAGUUCUUUUUUAGUAAUUGUUUCUAUUUGACUGCUUUACCUCACUCCCAAUCAAAUAGUGGAUAUAUUGUCUCUCUCUUGUUACUCUUUCUUUUGUUGCACUUCUCUGUUUAUUGCCCUGUGGUAUGAAUGCUAAAUAAGACCAUGAAAAGCCUUAGAUGAAUUGUAGAUCUGUAUAAUUAAUACCUGCUAUCCUUUCUAGAAGUAUUAAAGCACAGGAUGUAUCACUCCUCUGCUCUUAUCUUAACACAUUUCAAAUUUAAUUCAUCUAAAGACACUUUUCACUGCUCUGGUAAAAAAAGAGGAUACUCUACCUGUUAAAAAAAAGACCUAUCGUUUCCAUUAGAAGUACCUGUCUUAUGCAUGGAAGGUUGAAUUGUUUUCAGAAUAGCUUCAUUAACUUCUGAAAGUGUUACCAAUACAGGCCUCCCCAGAGCCAGGAUGCUAAUUGGAAGGAAAACUGUCGUUACAGUAGCUCAAGAAUUGUGUCUUCUUUAAGAGAGCAAGAAGGCUCAUUCAAUCACUGCCAGAGUGUUUCUGCCAGAAAGGAGGAAUAACUGCCGGUUAUAUGAACUCAGAGAAUACAUGUGACAAAUGAGUUAUUCCCACACUGAAAUAGCCUCUUCAGACAACCAACAACAGUAAGUCUAAUAAUGAUUAAGGAAACAAUGUUAAGUUGUCCAUCAAGUUUCAUGCCGUCUGAGCAAUGAUCUUUGUGGCCAGCAUCAUCUGUUAGCUCCUAUGUCCCCAGCUAGGUGGGUUAGGCAUGUUUGGAGGGUGCCAUAUGAAUUCUUGGAUUGCUUCCUUAUGCAGCCAGAGUAUCAGUAGUAACACGUCUGGCAUUUGUCACAUUUAUGCUGAUUUUAUUUUAAAGC